This is a long non-coding RNA of Varanus komodoensis (Komodo dragon), 2731 nucleotides long. RefSeq lists it as uncharacterized. The transcript has 3 exons. Lineage: Eukaryota; Metazoa; Chordata; Lepidosauria; Squamata; Varanidae. The record is from RefSeq and is a predicted model, not a curated record.
GGUGCCCACUGAGAGUGUCUUGCCCAAGGACCUCAAAGACUCGGACCUGGUCUGGCACUGAUCAUGUGGUGGCAGCACGGGAAAGGGGUGCUGGGAGCAGCGAAUAAUGAGAACACUCACCCAGAACUAGACUCUGGGCUGCUGCAAAGUGGAUUGGAGUCCAGGGAGCUGACCCCAGGGAACCUGGUGGAUUCCUACUCCCAAACAAAUCCCUAGAUGCAUCUAUCAGGAUGCUCUGCAGCAGGAUCCGAAGUUGCACAUGGGUCCCUUGGAGCGCAGACCCUGAGACUCAGGGAGGCAGAGCCACAGUGAUAAUGGGUAAGGGGAUGGAGACUAGUGGAGUCCAGCAGGGCCCUCCCUUUGCAAGUGCAACUCACAACUGGGCCUGUAUCACCUGUGCCUGUUUCUACUCAAUGUUUCUGUGGACUGUUCGGGGGGGUGGGGUUGAAUACUAGCAUUUACUUGUUGCAUUGGAGAAGGGCAGCUCUGCUUGAUUAAUGGCUAGCCCGGACUUUAGUGUGCUGCUGUGCUGCUAUUGAAAUGGUGUUUGCUUGUUUGUUGCAUAUUGUAUUCAUAUUCAAUUGUGUUGCAUCAGCUUAAUGUUUGCAAACUGCUUGGGCAUAAAGCCUCUCUGUGUGUGUGCGCGCGUGUGUAUGAAAUAUAAAUAUUAUCCAGUCCUCUGCAAAGAAGCAGUAGUAUCUGCAUCUGAAUCAUGUCUUCUAAAUGCUUAUUAAAGAUAGAAUAUGUUUCAGCUUCUCCAAGCAACUUCAGGCAACAAGUCUAAAUACUGAGAAGCCCCUUAAUAGAUGGCAGCACAAAAGCAUUGCCCAUCUCUGCUGUUGUCAGGCCAAAGCAGAAACUGUCCUCUAUCUUCUCCAAGUUGCUUUAGAGAGCUGAAGCCUCUUCCCAUUCUCUAGGCUUUGUGUGCUCCAUUCCUUUAAUCAUUCUGCAUUUGACUUGCUUUAUAAAAGAUUUACUGUUCCCUUGCAUUCCUUCCAGUUUGUUGUUAAGUUUUUAAAAGUGGUGCACCAACUUGGGGCCUGUUUCUCCAGCAAUGACAUAACUACGGUUGAGAAAAGCAAGGCUAUAUCUUGGAUAUGAGCACUAUGUUAAUGUGUCCCAGUGUAGCAUUGCCUUUUUAUUGAGCACCUUGGGCUUUUAGCACUCUUGUUAAAGCUUCCAUUUGGAAGUCUUAUAGUAAAAAUGUUAACAUGCUAACUUUGCUUUCUUUCUUUUAAAGAAGGAGCCAACCUUCAACAGGAUUCAGUUGUCGUGCUAGCUGGAAUUCAAGAGUAUCUGCUUGGCUAUUGCUGGUUAAACAGGAGGACUGGCCUAUGGAGCAUUUGCAUAGGUUGCCCAAAGAUCAAGCUCAAGCUGGAAGAAAAUGCAUCCAUACUUAGUGCUAAUUUGCUUUUCUACUGGCUAACCUGAAGUGCCAUGUCUUCCCUGCUAAUAAAAAAGAAAAAACUCUGACUGCCAUGAAUAGCCGAAAUGCAACACUGGGGAUCACGGAAGGUUAAGCACAGAAUUUUCCUCCUGAAUUAAGUAAUUAUGACACAAAUGAUUUGACUCUUUGAGCCAGCCUUACUCUGCGCUUUUGCCUGCUUUGCUGCAUUUGCCUAAUCAGAUAAUUGGGCGGCAUUUUUCACCACAGUGGCAUCAUAUUCCAUGGAAUGGCACGAUGUCAGAGAAGGAGCUGUGAUGAUAUGGUGGUGCUGAUCAAGGAAGUCCUGAGAAGUAGCUUGGGGAACGGAUCCCCCUUUGGCUUUCACUUAUUCUUCCCAGUGGGAAAUUUUCCAGGCAGAUUACAAUGGCAGAGGAUAAGUCCACUUAACAAUACCAGCAAAAGGAUCAGCUCCAAAACAACUGGAAACCAGCAACUUCCUGAGACAGCAGAAGAGAAGCAAAGAGAAGCAAAUAAGACAGAAUUAAAAUGGUGGUUGUGUUCUGUAUGGGCCUGUGCUUGAAAAUGGCCCAGAGGGGGCUGCUUCGAGCAAAACAUUGCAGCAAGAAUUACAGCAGGGAUCUGAGGGACUGAACAUCCUGCAUCUGUUCUGGCCCACUAGUUCUGCCUGCCUGAAUGUUUCCAAACCCAGUUCAAGGUGCUGCUAUCAAUCUAUAGGCCUUACAGAGCUUGGGACCUAAAAAUCUGACUCAGCCUUCCCCCCAGUGGGCAAUAAUUAUUGCCUGAGGCCCUCUUCCAGAUGCCUCCUUGGAGGGAGGUUUGAAGGAUGGCAACAAGGGAUGGUGCCUCCAUCCAAAUUAGAAUGCUCUCCUCUGUGAGACCCCCCUGGAACCCUCAUUGACAUACAUUUGGGUUUGGGUUAAGACCUCCCUCUAAUGUCCAGGUAUUCCAUGGCAUGUGAUAAUUGGUCAAAUUGGGAUUGUUAUUUGGUCUUGGGGUUUUUAUUGUUGAUUGUUUUAAGUUUUGUGUACUUAAAUGCUUUUUUGUUAUUUUUAUCUUGCAUUUUCAAAAUUUCCGUCUUUUGCAAUCUAGCCAGAGAAUUCUGUCUUAUUGGGCAGUAUAGAGAUGCAAUAAAUAAAUGAAUGCAUGAUUUUGAGAAAGCUCAUUGGAAAAAAUUGCCUUUGCAGCUCGAAUAAAAACAGGCAGUGCUGCAGACAGGCAGACCUCUCUUGAAAGGCCCUCCCUGAACUUGGGUGCCACAACUGGAAAGGUCCUGUUUUGGCAUCCACCCUCCAUUCUACACCAGAUGGGAUGGGGACUGCAAUG